Non-coding RNA from Caenorhabditis elegans, 21 nucleotides. NCBI's taxonomy places the organism in Eukaryota, Metazoa, Nematoda, Chromadorea, Rhabditida, Rhabditidae. The record is from Ensembl.
UGAUUGGGCAGUUUUUUGUGA